GAGGUUGUGGCUCAGUGGUAGAGUGCUUGCCUAGCAAGUGUGAGAUACUGGGUUCAAUUCUCAGCACCACA
Molecule: transfer RNA, 71 nt
Filed under: Marmota monax (woodchuck)
Lineage: Eukaryota; Metazoa; Chordata; Mammalia; Rodentia; Sciuridae
Description: tRNA.Ala
Rfam family: tRNA
About the family: Transfer RNA (tRNA) molecules are approximately 80 nucleotides in length. Their secondary structure includes four short double-helical elements and three loops (D, anti-codon, and T loops).
Source: RNAcentral